RNAcentral lists this ribosomal RNA (405 nucleotides) under uncultured bacterium. RNAcentral describes it as "partial 16S ribosomal RNA". It matches the Rfam family "Bacterial small subunit ribosomal RNA", at positions 28 to 526 of the family's 1533-position model. The record is from RNAcentral.
GAUGAACGCUGGCGGCGUGCCUAAUACAUGCAAGUCGAGCGAAGCGGGGGCGGGUGAGUACCGCGUAGAUAACCUCCUAUAAGUCUGGGUUAACUUCGGGAAACAGGAGCUAAACCGGCUACUCAUAGAUGGAUCCGCGCUGCAUUAGCUAGUUGGUAAGGUAACGGCUUACCAAGGCAACGAUGCAUAGCCGACCUGAGAGGGUGAUCGGCCACACUGGAACGGAGACACGGUCCAGACUCCUACGGGAGGCAGCAGUAGGGAAUCUUCCGCAAUGGGCGAAAGCCUGACGGAGCAACGCCGCGUGAGUGAUGAAGGUCUUCGGAUCGUAAAACUCUGUUAUUAGGGAAGCGGUACCUAAUCAGAAAGCCACGGCUAACUACGUGCCAGCCGCCGCGGUAAUUC